This 8402-nucleotide unclassified non-coding RNA is filed under the name Diabrotica virgifera virgifera (western corn rootworm). RNAcentral describes it as "mediator of RNA polymerase II transcription subunit 24". Lineage: Eukaryota; Metazoa; Arthropoda; Insecta; Coleoptera; Chrysomelidae. The record is from RNAcentral.
GAAAAACUUUAACCUGCAAAUUUGACAACUGUCACAAAUCAAUGUUUAUUUGAUAAUUAAUAAAUAGAAUGAAUUAAAAUAAGUAAAAUAACAGCGACCCAAUCAUGGUAAUGGAAUCAAAAACAACUAGCAAGACUAGUUGCCUUAAAGCACUAUUAUUAAGGGCUUGGAGAGAAAGAUGGACAGAUCUACAAUGGGGCAUCAACAUCAAAACAGUCCUGCCUAGAGGAGUUAGCGGAGAUGUGUAUAAUCUGGCUGAUUGUAUCCUUCAACAAGCCGUUGUAGGCGCUGGGGCCAACCAGUUAGUGUUGAGUUAUUUGAGACAUUCUUUGAGUGCCCAGCUUGUUUCGCAUGCAGCUGUUCUUCAAAGAUUGAGCAAGUAUAGUCAGAUGAGCAAGGUUCAUUGUGUUUUUAGCCUUCUGGAAUUCUUUGAAGGAAUGCUUCCAGGCAUUACUGUCAGUUGUGGAAAGCCCGAAGAGACUGUAUUAGCUACAGCUGUCUUGUCAGUGGCCCUGUGGUUACUGAAUAUAUUGCAGCACUGCCAAACUAACACAAAAAUUAUACAAAAGACUUCAGAACUGUUGAAAAUUCUAUUGACUGACGAUUUUUAUAUAUCCAUGAUGUGUCUUGCAAGGUGUAAUGACCCAGAUCUCUUCACAGAAGCAAGUAGCAAAUGUUUAGAACUAGAAUCAAUUUUAGGCGAAGAAGACGAGAUUCUUCCGUUUGUAAGAAAAUUAUCGAAUAUGGAUGUUAAUAUCUUGCAAUUACCUAUAAAAAGCGAGAACUGGCCAGGUUCUCUAAUCCAGUGUUGGCUGCAAGUAAAACUAACAGGAAAUCCUGGGACUCCAACAUCAGCAUUAGCGCAACAGCUGAGGAUUUUUAAGAAACUGAAGGGUUUCAGCCAUGCUAGAUUAUAUGCGGAAUUGAUGAGGGGUAGUUUGAUGUCUCUGUAUAACGCAAAGCAAACCUCGCAUGAAAGCCAAUGGAGUGCAUUUGCCUUCCUUAAAGUGCCCCACAUUCUUUUGGAACUAGCAGGGACUUCAGACAGCGCUAGCAUUGUAUCCGCUUUAGAACUGAUGCUGCAACACAGCCCUUUGCUAGAUGCCAUGGAUGCCAAUAGCUCUUGUUCUAGUUUUGAAUGUUUGUUAAAUGAGCUGUCAAAAAAUAAGUUACUGUCAGAGACGCAGGUUAAAAUGUUUUUGGAAAAGAGGAAAACACCGCCAUCGUUAAAGAUAGAUUCAGUUCCUGGUAAUAACAUGUCUACUUAUUGGCAUAUCUGUGCUGAGAGUACUUUAACUGGGAUUUUGAAAACAUUGUCUUCCGACUAUCAAAAAAUUCAGGACGCUCUUUUAAAAAUGCUCCAUCAAGUCCUAGCCGGCAACAGUUUUGAACUCAUACUUGCUGUAGCUACAGUCCAGGACAAGUUGGGUACUCUAGUGAAUCGACUGAUCAAAUUUAACGAAUGCUCCAAGUCAGCUGGCGAAUCAAAAUCUCAGCUGUUUGAUAUAACCUUCGUAAUGUUGGUGACUAUAGUACAAAAUUAUGGAGCUUCAGCUGUGCUGGACUCGGAUGGAGAUUCACUGUUUGAGCAAUGGGUGAAGUCAUGUAUGGUGGAGAGGAAUAAGCCUAAAGCUGCGGAUCAAAUUCUUAGACUAGGUGAUCCUGUAAUCAUCCAAUCACUAUUGGAACAGUUCAACUCCGGAGAAUCCGAGUUCAAACCCGGCAUCAAAUGGCAGGAACUACUGUUUAACAUACCUGGUGUAAUGCAUGAAGUUCUUGUAGCGUGGGAGCAAGGUACUCUCGUUCCUCAAGACGUGAAACGCAUCCUAGAUGCAGUUAGAGGAAAAAUGUGCUGUUUACCUAUAGUUGCAGCUGCGUGGCUGUGUGCUUAUAUGAGAACGGCUCCACAAGAUACCUUACUCAAACCUAUAAAUAUGGUUCAGCAGCUUUUAAACACGCCAGGUUCAGAAGAGGAUAACUUCAAUGACAGGUGGCAGCUCACUUGUGAAAUUAUCAGGAAAAUGCAGCGGGACGUUCAGCUUCCUUUGCCCCAAAAGAGCGGUCAUUAUUUGGUGUCUAGGAAGCCUGCAACGGAACAAUUGGGAGAGGCUUGGAAACUUGGUAUUGUUCGAGGUUGGUUGGAUCAUAACUCGGCAAGAACUCUCCACUGUCUUCUGGAAACCGCUGGUACGAGAUGGUUGGUGUCUGCCGUCAUUCAAGAACUGGUGAAACUCAGGUACCGAGACCAACUUCAAAGAGGCAUCGACUUGGCUUUGGCUAUGUUCCAUGUUGACAUCGUCGGCUGUACUCGGCAACUUUUAUCCCACGUGUUGCCUCAGUUGUUAUACAACGAUAUACAAGCAGAUGGUCUGAUGGAACCUCAACUUCCAGCCUUAGCUUAUGUUACGAGUUACUGUGUGUUUACUGCAUGGGAUGCGCUGCAAUCUAUGGAGGACGUCGAUACAGACCCUCCAGUCGCCAAAAUGAGCCGCCUCUCCGACACGAAAGAAGAAGAAGCCAAGCCUUUGGAGCAGCUCCUCACCGCUCUUCGCCAACUGCUCUACAUGUUCGAAGGAGUCAUCCAAGAAGGCUCCAUUACCCAGCAAACCUAUUUCGCGUUCUACCUCAUCAAAUCCUUAGUCGAAGUCAAAGUACCAACUGCUAGUGCUGUAUUGGCUGCUAUUCCCUCAUCUCUAAUAUCGGAUUUGCUCAAAACGAUGCCUGAUCUGUUCAGUUAUCCGCUUCUGUUACAUAUUCAUGAUGUUACAAGUACAGCUGGAAGGAUCAAUAUGGCGAAGGAUUUGUGUAUAUUGAGGAACUAUUAUUUGAAGAAUGCUAAAGAUGUUGCUACACGAUAGGUAUGUCAUCUGAGUCGUUAUGGAUUGUAUAUUAAAACGAAAGAGGUGUAUUUUUGCUUCCUUGGGAAUAUGACUAGCUUGCAUCGUCAAUCUUCCUAGUGUUACUUGAUUUCUUGUUUGAGUGAUAAGUUCUUUUGUUAGAUUACAGUUGGAUCAUACCCAACAUAUUACGUCGUUGAAUCCAAGUCCUCGAAAUCGUAGCAUCAAGUCUCUUUGCAGGCUCUGGAUAGAUAGCUUCAAUGAGGUUGCUUUUGGUUUAUUCCACUGCGACCUUUUCAGAUCUAUCGUGGUCCUCCAGCUCUAGAUUACAUUCUCUAGCCUGGCCCUUUUUAAAAGACUUCGAGACUGAACCUUCCACUCAACUCUUUGUCGGUAACUUUUCUUCUCUUAAUGCAAAGAACCGCUCAUUUACCAGGCCUGAUGCUGACAAAAGUGUGGUCUGUUUUUUUCUCUUUUAGGUAGCAGAAUCUGCAUAGGUCAUAUUCUGCCAAUCCUAUAAGCUUAGUGCCCUGUUACCAGAUCUACUAUGGAUUUGACUGUUUUUCUGCUUAUUAGGUCUGCCAUAAACGAAUUCGCCUGUCUUUGUCCUGGUGAAUUUCUCUGCCAUUCUACAGAUUUGUGGGCUACCCACUUUCUUAUAGCCUGUGCAACGUCGCAGAAGGGUUGCAGUCCAACGAAUGGCAUUGAUGAGCCUUGUUUGGUCAUUUCAUCUGAUUUUUCAUUGCCUCAUCUCCCAGUAUCCAGUCUACCCAUACCCAUGCUAGCUUAGAAUUGACAUCUACAGAAUUGAGUGCCUUAAGCGCUGCCUGGCUAUCUGUGAUGAUGGCAACUGAACGGUACGUUCUUUCCUGCCUUUCUAUUUCUUCCAUGCAGUGAUAGAUUGCCGUUAUCUCCGCCUGGAAAAUUGUGACAUCCUUAGAUAGACUCACCCGCAAAUAUAUCCCUUUGCUUUGUCACUACUACACCGGUUGCAUCUAAACAUUCCGUAUAUGUAUUUGGCACCUAGGAGUUUUCUAUUGGUUCCUUGCGGCACGCGGCCAUAUUUCAACCAAUACGAGGCGAGGUGCCAAACGAAUAUACGGAAUGUUAUUCGGUGCGAAAUUCAUAUGCGGAAUGUUAAAUAUUCGUAGACCAAAAAAGACGACUUUUUAUUAAAAUCAGUUAAAGAAGACUGAUAUUAAAAUAUUUUGUUAAUAUAUUAUUAAAUAAAAAUAAAACAAUUAUAUCAUAUGGAAUGUUUGGUGGUAAAUUUAUAUACGGAAUGUUAAAUAUUCGUAGAUAAAAAAAGACGACUAUUUUCGUCUGGUAGCACACAUUCCAAAGUUUCAACAUAAUUGAAUAGCUGAAACAUAUCUAAACAUACUAAAUAAUACGUGAAAGUCAUUAAAAAUUUUGCGAAAGCGAAACCUUAAUCAAAUAAGGAAAUAAUAAUAUCUCUCAAAUCUAUACCAUUCCAUUUAUGAAUUUCGCACCAAAUAACAUUCCAUAUAGGUAAUAAUUGUUUUAUUUUCUUUAAUAAUACAUUAACAAAAUAUUUUAAAAUCAGUCGUCUUUAACUGACUUGAUAAAAAGUCGUCUUUUUUUAAUCUACGAAUAUUUAACAUUCCACAUAUGAAUUUCGCACCAAAUAACAUUCCAAAUCUUCUUUUAACUGACUCAAUAAAAAGUUGUCUUUUUCGGUCUACGAAUAUUUAACAUUCCGUAUAUGAAUUUCGCACCGAAUAACAUUCCGUAUACGCGUUUGGCACCUCGCCGCCUAUUGAUUGAAAUAUGACCGCGUGCUGCAAAGAACCAAUAGAAAAGUCGUAGGUGCCAAAUACAUAUACGGAAUGUUUAGAUGCACAGCUGUUCCUACACCCUCUGAUGUUUUUGAGCCAUCAGUAUAACAGGUAGCUUCUGCUUGUAUGAGUACACCUUCCUUCUAGUCUUCUCUGCCUGGUAUAUUUUGAAUUUAUUGUCAAAGUUAUAUGUCAUAGCUGCUGCAUCGAUGGGUUGUCCCCAACGAACUGUCAACACUGGUGGAAUCUACAUGAAGCGAACUUAAUGACGCCAGGAUGAGAUAGAAGAUAAUCAGGUAAAGGAGGGAAGAUAAUCGCCAUCUUUCGUAAACAAACAAAUUGACAGUGUUAGUCAGGUACGUCAGGGUUGCCAGAUUGGGGUAUUUUCCCACAAUUUUGGGGUAAUUUGCAAGCGUAUAGGGGAACUUCUCUAAGCACAAAUGGUUGGGAGAUUUUUUGGGGUAAAAAUUAUGGAAGAUUUUAAGGGGUCAUGGGAAAUUAAAUUUGCGAAUGUACACAUAGAACUGUAUAUUAUACUCUCAUAUAAUCGAAGAAGAUAGGACCUAUGAAUUAUUUCCAGAGCUCUUUGUUGAUAAGUAGUAUAAUUUUUGUUUACUCUUCUCUACAUUUGACUACUAAUUUAUUAAAAUGCGGCAAAAAUUUAAAUUUGGAUGAUUUGAGAGAAUUUCAGUUUCUAAGUGGGGGUUUUAUAAAAUCACAUCUGGCAACUCUGGUGGUAGUUAUAGCAAAUUUUACCUGACAAAUUCUCUGUCUCUCUAGAACCUCUCUCUUGUAUGUUGGCGCCAAUCUCGCUUCACUGUUGGAAUGGGACGGGGUCAUUCCAUCAGUGUUAACAGUUCGUUGGUUGUCCCACUACAUUAUCUCCUUUUAGCUCCUCAAUUUGCUUUCUAUUGUCAGCACUCUGUUAUGGCGUAUAUGUUGUUGACCAUGUAUUAAUCUUUGCAUCACUGAUCUGGCUUCGCCCUGUAUACAGAUAUAUGAAGUGGUGGUAGACUCAGCAGGACUCCAACCCCGAUGUACUAGAUAUAGUGCAAACACUCCUGACCACGGCGCAGUAGACGAAAUUUGGUUUAGUCCCCACUUCCAUGCGAAACGCACGGUAUCUACAAUAGAAUUUUUCUGCCUUUCCGUGAAUUUUGACAUUUUGACUCCGCCUUCGCGCAGCUCCAUGGUCAGGAGUGUUUGCACUAUUUCUACUGACCCAUAGGUUAUCAUUGGUUUUGUAUUAUCGUAGGAUAAUUUUGGUGUUGAGCCCCCAAUUCUUACCGCACAUUCUUCUACAUCUGCCCAAUGACAUAGUCGAUUUCUAUGUGGUUUUCAGUAUGUGAGGAUUCCUUGUAAGCCUAUGAUAAAAAUAUACCCCUAGAUAUUUUGUUUAUUUGGUAAAUGAACUCUCUGUUCCUCCCAACACCGGUGGUUUUAGGCUUUGUAAUGCUCUCUUUUUUAUGAAGUUGAAGAUUUGUGUUUUUUGAGCUUUGAUUGUCUUGUUUACGCCAGUUAUCAACUACACUAAGCAUCAAAAUUAACGAACCACCUUAAAAAUGGGAAAUUUUUGAUGUCUCGUAUUUCCUAAACCUGUUGUCCGAUUUGAGUAAUUUUUUUGUAUAUUAUAGCUUUAUUCUUCAAGAAUAUCGAUUUAAUAAUAUUAUUGCUAAACAGGUUAGUGUCAUUGUAUACCGGGUGUAACAAAGAUAGUGUGUUUUUUUCUCAGAGUUUGGAACACCCUGUGGAAUAUUCUAGCGUAUAUAAAAUAUUGAAAUUAAAAUUCAGCUGUAGCCUUAUGCUUUCUUAACAUUUUGCUUUUCGAUUCAUUCGCUUAUGUUGGAUAAUAAAAAAGUUAGGUACUUUAACCCUUAUCCGGGCAACACAUUUUACUUACAUAACCGGGCAACCCGGGUCCAUUGGGCCCACCACUGUUCUUGAAUGUACUAUUCAUAUUUACCCAUAUAUUUUUCUAAUAUUCUUUUUUGAUUUUUUAUUAAAGUUAAAUUUAAAUUGUCUAGAUUAAAAAAAGGUGCUACUAUAGUAUGCGGUCUACCUCGAGGGUGCUUACACUUAUCUGGCUUUGAAUAUACUGACUUGAAAGGACACCUACCUGGAUACGGAACAACUUGCUCAUCUACCGUUAUGUUUUUUUCUGGUAAAUAGUGUAUUUCUGAAAGAUUUGGUUGACUUGAUUCCACACAUCGCGUAUUGCUGCUAAUUUGUCGUUCCUUCUUCGUUCAGACCUCGUGCCCUUAUCGUCAAAUCGAACAAAUCUUAGCAAAUUUUUGAAUCGUUUUAACCCCAUGGUAGCUUUAAAUAUAGUGGGUCCAUAAAGCUUACUCCAAAGUAUAUCUACAUUAUGGAUGUUGGCACUCAGGUGCCCCGCUGUUAGUAGUAGUCUAAUAAAGGCAUAUAGCUCUGUAGAGUCGCAAUAUUUCCAGUUCCCUACCCCCAGGACUUUUUCGGCUUCUUUAUUUAUACACUUCACUAUUUAGUUCACAAUUUUUUCGUCCAAAAAAAAACAAAAGAAAUCAACAGGAUCAUCUACAUUUUGACCAGGGGCUAACAUUACUUUGUGCACUUUGCUUUUUAUUAUGUCGCAGGAUCGCAUACGUCCUCGCAUACUUCCAGUUAAUUCCAUCCUUAGUUUCAAAAAUUACACACUCUUAAAUCUGGGAACUUGUAGCUACACAUUCUUCUUCAUUAUCAGUCAAUACUACUUGCUGAUCAUCCUCUUCACUUGCUUCCGAAAGAUGAUCUUCAAUUUCAGAGUCACUUUCAAUGCCGCCUACUUCAGGAGAUUAUUCAUCAUCGGAGUCCCAUAAAUUAUUAGCAAUAUCUUGCAGUUCUGCAGCUGAUAAUGGAUUUCGGGACAUUUUAUUCGCACUAUGUACUUUCACUGUAAUUCAAUAUAAUUUUAAGAGCUUAGUUGUAGGCACUAACAUCGAUAUCAAACGACUGAUAGCAGAUGCAUUAUUCAUUUCAAAAUAUGUAUAGGUACCUACCUAACAAUAUUAUUGCAUUCCAACAAUGAUUAUCAGUUUUUAAAAUUCAUUUAUGAUGAUUUAAAAUUCAUUAACAAUGAUUACAUUGUUUGUUACACGUUUAGACUUUAUUAUUGGAUUUCCGGAAUCGUAAAAGUCGUUUAGAUAAUCCACAAAAACAUUACCUGACUGCCAGAUUAACUGCUGUAACAAAGAUUUAGACUUUAGGUAUAAAUGCAAAUAGGGUCCGAUGGGCCCGUGUUGCCCCUUUACUUGACAAAAUACUUUCGACCCAAUAAUUUCACAAAUGAUAAUGAAUAUUUUGAAUAGCUCAUGACUAUGUUUAAGUAAACAUACUUCUAAACAAAUUCAGUGAUGCAUAAAAUUCAAUAAAAAAAUUUUUAUCAGUUUAUGAUAAAAGAGUUUGCGUCUCGGGCCCGUUGGACCCACCUUACCCGGAUAAGGGUUAACAACUAGCAACGUUCUUCAUCAAUACAGGGUGCUUCUAAAUAAGUGCGGCAAACUUUAAGGGGUAAUUCUGCAUGAAAAAAUAAUGACCAUUUGCUUUAUAAACAUAUGUCCGCAAAUGCUUCGUUCCCGAGAUACAGGAUGCUGAAUUUUUUCGUACAAACUGACGAUUUAUUUAUUGCUCUAAAACCGGUUGAGAUAUGGAAAUAAAAUUUAGUAGGUUUUAAGAGGUAGUUAUUGCGCAUUUUUUGACAUACAAUUAAGAAUUUUAUAUUCACCAUUGGCGUGCAUACGGGUUAUAUUACCCG